Molecule: long non-coding RNA, 1003 nt
Filed under: Heterocephalus glaber (naked mole-rat)
Lineage: Eukaryota; Metazoa; Chordata; Mammalia; Rodentia; Bathyergidae
Description: lncRNA (ENSHGLG00000035296.1)
Source: RNAcentral
CAUAAACAUUUUAACUGAUAAAUUAUAUCAAACAAUUAAAGCAGCAAAAAGAAGGAACACUUCUCCCCUCAUUUUAGGAACUCAACAUUGUGGUAAUCCUAAAACUGGAUAAAGAUAAUAGAAGAAAAAAGUAUGAACAUAGAUAGAAAUUUGUUUAACAAAACAAACUAUUAGAAGUCAGAUCUGGCAGUAUGUAGAAAGACAAAGUGGUUUUGUUAUAGGGAUGGCAGUGUUGGUUCAGCAUUGGAAGAUCCACCCCCAAAAGUCACCAUUUUAACAGAGGAAAGGAAAAAGCCAUAUGAUCCUGUCACUAGUUGGAGAAAAAGUAUUGGACUAAAUUCUACAGCUGUUACGGUAAAAGCUAUCAGGAGACUAGAAGUAGAACAGAAUCUUCUCAACAGAUUAAAGACAUGUACUCCAUACUUCCAACAAGAAUGCCUUAUAUGACUGGAGAAGAUACAAUGCUUUCUCCUUAAGGUGGGGAACAAGGGCAGAUAUGCUUACUCUUUAUCUGUCCAUUAAACUUUGAAACCUAGGCCCCACCAAAAUAGUCUGGCAAUAAAAUGACACAACUAGGAUAGGAUUGGCAUGGCAGAAGCAAAAUCUUUAUAUGUAGAUGAAAUGAUCAUCUGUGUAUACUUGCUAUAAAUGAAGAAUUGGAUAAUGAAAUUUAAAAGUUAUGUAGGAGUACAAAGGACCUAGAAAAGUUAAAAACAAAAACAAAAACAGUGUUGGAAGAUGUUUAGUACCUAAUUUUAAGAUUUCUUCUAAAGCUACAGUAAUCAAGGCAGUGUUGGUGUAAGGAAAGACAUAUAGAUCAUUGGAAUAAAACAGAGAAUCUAGAAAUAGAACCACACAUAUAUGGUCCACUGAGUUAUGAAAGAUUAUUUAACAUUAGCAUUUUAUAGAAUAUAAACUCAAUUCAAGAGCCGAGGAAGAGAUAGUGUUUUCAGCAAAUGGCACUAGAACACCUGGUAUCCAUAUAUAGAAAAUUAACCUCAAC